UACGGGGGGGGCAAGCGUUGUUCGGAAUUACUGGGCGUAAAGGGCUCGUAGGUGGCCAACUAAGUCAGACGUGAAAUCCCUCGGCUUAACCGGGGAACUGCGUCUGAUACUGGAUGGCUUGAGAUUGGGAGAGGGAUGCGGAAUUCCAGGUGUAGCGGUGAAAUGCGUAGAUAUCUGGAGGAACACCGGUGGCGAAGGCGGCAUCCUGGACCAACACUGACACUGAGGAGCGAAAGCAUGGGGAGCGAACAGG
RNAcentral lists this ribosomal RNA (253 nucleotides) under uncultured bacterium. Its description in RNAcentral is "partial 16S ribosomal RNA". It matches the Rfam family "Bacterial small subunit ribosomal RNA", at positions 524 to 776 of the family's 1533-position model. The record is from RNAcentral.